UACAGAGGGUGCAAGCGUUAAUCGGAAUUACUGGGCGUAAAGCGCACGUAGGUGGGUGCUUAAGUCGAAUGUGAAACCCCUGAGCUUAACUUGGGGACUGCAUGCGAUACUGAACACCUAGAGUAUAGUAGAGGGAAGUGGAAUUUCCGGAGUAGCGGUGAAAUGCGUAGAGAUGUGGAGGAACACCAGUGGUCGAAGGCGACUCUCUGGCUGUAAACUGACGCUGAGGCGCGAAAGCGUGGGUAGCAAACAGG
This 254-nucleotide ribosomal RNA is filed under the name uncultured bacterium. RNAcentral's name for it is "partial 16S ribosomal RNA". It matches the Rfam family "Bacterial small subunit ribosomal RNA", at positions 524 to 776 of the family's 1533-position model. The record is from RNAcentral.